RNAcentral lists this ribosomal RNA (357 nucleotides) under Triticum aestivum (bread wheat). Its description in RNAcentral is "partial small subunit ribosomal RNA". Lineage: Eukaryota; Viridiplantae; Streptophyta; Magnoliopsida; Poales; Poaceae. The record is from RNAcentral.
AUGUGCAUGCAUAUAUACAUUUUUGUUGUGGAACUUCAAACUACCAAUAAAUUUUCCCUUCUAGCUGACAUGAUGGGAAAAAUGCAACUUUCAUUGGGUUAUAAGAAUAGUACAAACAUUCAAACAAGACGGAAUGUGUUAGGCAUUGAACACGUAAAUGGAUCUCUUUAUGAGACUACACAGACCAAAACUGUAUGGCUUUCGAUAUUCUGUGGCACAAAUAUACUAAAACUUUGUAGCUUUGAAGCUGCCCAAUACUACAUGGUACUUCUGAGAUCAAGAGAGAAGGUAGCAAAAAUCUUUGCAAUGCCAUUUUCCCUUGAGAUAAAUAAAUACUGCAACUUAUUCAUUACAUAG